CUCCUGCGCGAAGGCCAGCGAGAUGAGCAGCAGGGGCAGCCCCACCGCAAUGCACGUGACCAUCUUGUCCACAGCCAGCUCCAGUCGCAGCCCCUUGAACUUGGGCUCCGUGGGCUCCUUCAGCAAGAAAUCCGAGAACACGUACUCCGUGGCCAGUUGAGCGAUGGCCAUGGCUGCGGCGCGCCAGGCUCGACCAGGAGGUCCGGGUACAGCCGGCGUCGGGAAAGCUGCGCGGCGCCUUCACCCAGUCACCGGCCGGGCGCGCGGCUUUCGCUUUCCCUUUGCCUGCUCCCGCAUCCCGCCUGCCUUUGUGUCUCGGUGCCUCAGGCUCCCAGCGACUCCGCUGGGCUCUCGCGCUCGCUGCCUCCGCCGCCGGCGGGGCGGGGCGGGGCGGGAACCCGAGAGCUCCGCUUCCUGCGGUUCCACCCCGCACGCCCGUGCAAGUCCCCGGGCCGCGCGCGGCACUCGGAUUCGCGCCUCUCCCGCGCACCCCCAGGCGCGGGAACCACGCGCGGAACAAAGCGCUUCCCUCUGGCCCUGCCCCUCCGCGCCGCCCUGGCUGCCGAAGCGGCCGCCGGGAUAGCCCUGCGCUCACAGCCAGCUGCGCCGCGCUCUUCCGGAACCAUGCGGGGAAACCAAGUACCCAG
Molecule: long non-coding RNA, 647 nt
Filed under: Homo sapiens (human)
Lineage: Eukaryota; Metazoa; Chordata; Mammalia; Primates; Hominidae
Description: HSALNT0364395
Source: RNAcentral